Long non-coding RNA from Numida meleagris (helmeted guineafowl), 3877 nucleotides. RefSeq lists it as uncharacterized. NCBI's taxonomy places the organism in Eukaryota, Metazoa, Chordata, Aves, Galliformes, Numididae. The transcript is spliced from 2 exons. The record is from RefSeq and is a predicted model, not a curated record.
GCCGGGGGGCCCAGCGGGCGCAACUUUCCCCGGAGCGGCGUGGUGUGCCCGGCAGCGGCACGCCGCUGGGCCCCCGCUCCGCUGGAGUCGUCGAGCGAUGCGCCGUGUGUGUUUGAUGUGUUUUAAAGAUAACUGAAUAAACACGAAAACGUGGGUUGUUUGUUCAGUGCUGUUCCGUGCAGUGAAGAAACGGCCCUUUUGUUUACAAAACAUGCCAAUUGUUAUUCGCUUGUAAGGGAAUUACUCUUCUUUUGAGCAAGGUACAGUCAUAACGUUUGGAAGGAAUACUGCUAAUCACAGCAGAGCCGCACCGAGCUUUCCAACAGUUGGCUCUAAUGAGCAGGACCAUGGCCAAUUUCUCUCAGCAAUUCUAGUGUUUACUCGGACUGUGCCUACAUACCAAAGAUGCUCUUUCUUAUAUAUCAAGUAGAGCUUGCAUGCUGGUGGAGCUUACAGCUGCAGACUGUGGUGUUUAUUAUGAAGGGUUGACUGGAAACAGCUGUUCUGUUAUUCCCAAUCAGCGCAUCCUCUGUCCCUCUCGUCUCCCGAGGUACCAUCUCACUCAGGUUAUUAAAUCUGAUUUAAUUCACCAGCUUCACUGGGCUACAGGACAGCAGGGGGAAUGCAGUUCCAAUUAUAAAGCUCUGUUGGAUGUCCUCCAUCUGCAUCUGGCACUCUCCAGAGGUCACGUUUCAGUAAUUGAUCCAGCCGUCGAAGGCAAAAGAGCAAAAUAAAAAGGAAGGCGAAUGAUGUUGGUGACAGUCUGCGCUGAUAAUGCCACUUCAGACUUGGAAGAAAUCAAACUUGGGAAGGCAGAAGGCACUAGGAAACCUGAACACCUGACUUCCAAGGAGUACCUUUUUUCUGAGAAAAUGCUAAUACGAAAGGAGAAGAGUUGGAGGCAGCUAAUUGGCAUAGAUGUUUGGAGCAUGAUUUGAGAACAGUCUUCUGAGAAUACAAGGGCAAAAUUUUAGGCAACAGGAGAGAGCUUUCUUUUGGGAAUCUGGUCAUUGUCAUGUGGAGAAGCAGUGGAUGAGUCAGUGUUCAAGCUAACCUAAUAGAAAUUCCAUAGAAAGAGCAAACAGGAGGAGCAAGUUGUUGCUGAAGUUCAUUUCUUUUUUUAAAAAAGUUGUUUUUCAAAAAAAGUUGCGGUUUCUCAGGGCUGUUUCUUUCUCCCAGAGUUUAACUAGACGUCCAGUCCCAUCAAGGGAUGUUGUGCACUGCCCUGUACCCUCACUGUAUUAAUUUCUGAUGAAUUGUUUAUCUUACAGCAAUUUGAGACGCUGAAGUCUGUUUCUCAUGCUCUGUCAGACUCUGAGCCAUCUGUCAACUUACAGUAUGGUAAUACAGUGUGUACAUUGCUGGCAUGAAAAUCAAGAGGUAGCACAACAUAAUUGUGUUUAGUUACACCCUGAACAACCUCUGCUUGGUUAACUAGGGAUCUCCUUGCAGUUUUCGAAGUGAGAUGUAUCAGUUUUCAAAGUUGGCAUAUUAGCAUUUCUCCUCUUGUGAAAUAGGAUAGAUAUUUUACAGUGAACUAGUAGCAGCUGUAGUUAUCUGUGAACUCAUUUAAGCUUUAUUUUCUUUUUUCUUUUCCUGCCUUCACUCGUUGCAUGUAAGGCUGUCCAGAAUAAAAUUACAGCGUUGGGAGUAAUAGGUGGUUGGUGAGUAGGAGUUGCAACAGUCUUCUGCUGAAGGAACAACAACAAAAAGCUUGUUUAGUCCCCAGUGACUGCUGUACCUUAAUAACUUUUGACAUAGGACUAGUAACAAACCACUUCAGCGGAAUUUCAAAUGACUGUGUUGGAACUCUACUGAUUCUGUGUUGAACUGCAAAGUGUGAAAAGCCAAAUGCCUAAACAUAGUUGUAGCAUUAAAUACUUUCUCAAGCAAUGCUGAAAAAUAUUUUUUUCCCUAUUACUGAUGCAUUGGGUACAGAAAAUACACAGCAGUAAGACUCAGUGUUGGCUACUACAAUGAUGCAAAAAAGAAGCACUUUUUUAGAGUUUUAGAAAAUAAGACUAAAACAGUUUUAAAGCUGGCAGUGUGUCAGUCACAUUCCAUCUGUGUAGGUAGUUCUAAUUUAACUGUUUUGUCUCGUGAUGUGAUGCUAAUACAUUAAUAGACCUGAGCGUUGUUUUUAUUUUUUGUCUUUGAUGAGUGGCUGGCUGGUCCUUGGCAAGAUGGCUGAGAACUCUGCACUGAUCUGAAGACUAAAGUUGGGCUCUUCCUAUCUAUUCUCUUAAUAUUGAUUCUAGAUCUCAGUGAUUUUCGUAUCUUCUAGGGAAUUUUAAGAAGGUAAUUAUAAUGUAAGCCCUAAAGCUGUAAUUUUAAAUAAGAAGCAGUCUCUCGUGUAACACAAUUCUGACUCUUGAAAGGACAGAAUAAAAAUUAUUCUUUUAAAACUCAAUUCCUGUGGCAAUCCCUAUGCUUCAGCUUUCUGAAACAAAACCAAAAAAACCUUACCAACUACUUUAGAAUGCUGUAACACGUAGCUCUGCAUCCAAAGCUGUUUUUGAGAAAUAGGAGGUCUUUUAAAAAAAAUGUAAAUUGGUUUUCUAACGUAUACAAUUGGGUUGACUCAACCUAACUACUCUAAUCCUUUUUCAGUUUGUUUAAAAAUGAAAAAAAGAGGCCAACAGAAGGCAAAAAAAGAAAAAAAGUAAUAGAAACUUAAUAUUUCUGUUACAGAUUCCCUAAAAGAUGAUAGUGGAUCUGUUAGUAUUGCUCUGUCAUCAAAUUCUUCUGUGGAUUGCCACAUUUGUAUCCAGUCAUUGACACUAACAGCAGCCUGGUAAUUGCUUGGUACUUUAUCCUUAGAAAUGAGAGUAUGUGUUCAGAGCAUUUUUUCCCUUUAACACAGUUCUUGCUCCGAUGCAUUUGAGGUUUAGUGCUUGUAAUGCUUGAAGCAAAGCUUUUGGAUGUUGUUGGCCUUUGUGUGUUUUACUACACGUUGUUCCUUACUGCAGCAUGAGAAGAAAGAGAUGAUGUAAACCCAGUCACAAAAAGAUCAUGUCACAUUGGUUCAUGCACCUCGUGAAGUGUUACUGGCCUGUAGACCCAUGUUAAAGGAGCAUCUUAACAGUGGUUUUCGAUGGCAGCUGUAAAUACAAUGCAUGUCCUAUCAGGAGCCAUGCAUUGGUGGUCAUGAGAUGGGCAUAAAAUACAGAUUUCUUGACUUUGUUAGUCUUUGGCAUUCUGUUGUUACAAGACUGAAGACUUUGUUUCUCAGUAAGAAGAGAUGGUCUGUAAUAGGUGGCUAAUGUUUCUACCACCUGCUCUCAAACAAAUUUUUAUCAUCUUGCAGUUUUUCUGUUGCUUCUCCCCAGCUCCUCCCUCACUGGCUGUGUAUUAUUUUCUUACUGACCAUGUCCAGAUAAGUAGUCUGUUUCUCCAGAACUGAGCCAUUUUUUUUUCUUCAGGAAUGUGGCAGAGCAACAAAUUUUGAAUUUUAGGCAUGCUAUUCUGAUAUAUUUUUUUCAUCAAUAAAAUAUAUACCAUGAAUGGUGGACAGUGUUGAUGCCAGGUGAUGACACUGGAAAAGCUCUGGAUGUGUUUUCUGCUGUCAAUAGAAAGGACAGCAGAGUCCACUUGGAGUGCUAGGACACUAGCACUGUUUUGUUGAGCUGUCAAAAUGUUCAAGUAUCUGCAACAACCCUCUUUAUUUUGUUGUUGGGAAGUGAAAAGCUCUGUAAGCAGAAUUUAUUUCUUCCUUAAGUUUGUCAUCUGUAAUGCUUUGUUACUGUUGUAGAUUUAAUAAUAUUUUGUUUGGGUUUUUUUUGAGAUCAAACCCUUCCUAUUUUUCCCACUCAGUCAUCAUCUCCCUCCUAUUAAGACCAGAAGUUGCUGUAAAAAAAAAAAAAAAAAAAAAAAAAAA